Molecule: ribosomal RNA, 467 nt
Filed under: uncultured bacterium
Lineage: Bacteria
Description: partial 16S ribosomal RNA
Rfam family: Bacterial small subunit ribosomal RNA
Source: RNAcentral
GACGAACGCUGGCGGCGUGCUUAACACAUGCAAGUCGAACGGAAAGGCCCUGCUUUUGUGGGGUGCUCGAGUGGCGAACGGGUGAGUAACACGUGAGUAACCUGCCCUUGACUUUGGGAUAACUUCAGGAAACUGGGGCUAAUACCGGAUAGGAGCUCCUGCUGCAUGGUGGGGGUUGGAAAGUUUCGGCGGUUGGGGAUGGACUCGCGGCUUAUCAGCUUGUUGGUGGGGUAGUGGCUUACCAAGGCUUUGACGGGUAGCCGGCCUGAGAGGGUGACCGGCCACAUUGGGACUGAGAUACGGCCCAGACUCCUACGGGAGGCAGCAGUGGGGAAUAUUGCACAAUGGGCGGAAGCCUGAUGCAGCAACGCCGCGUGCGGGAUGACGGCCUUCGGGUUGUAAACCGCUUUCGCCUGUGACGAAGCGUGAGUGACGGUAAUGGGUAAAGAAGCACCGGCUACUACGUG